GGUUAAGCGACUAAGCGUACACGGUGGAUGCCCUGGCAGUCAGAGGCGAUGAAGGACGUGCUAAUCUGCGAUAAGCGCCGGUAAGGUGAUAUGAACCGUUAUAACCGGCGAUUUCCGAAUGGGGAAACCCAGUGUGACUCGUCACACUAUCAUUAACUGAAUCCAUAGGUUAAUGAGGCGAACCGGGGGAACUGAAACAUCUAAGUACCCCGAGGAAAAGAAAUCAACCGAGAUUCCCCCAGUAGCGGCGAGCGAACGGGGAGGAGCCCAGAGCCUGAAUCAGCAUGUGUGUUAGUGGAAGCGUCUGGAAAGGCGCGCGAUACAGGGUGACAGCCCCGUACACAAAAGCGCAUAUGCUGUGAGCUCGAUGAGUAGGGCGGGACACGUGGUAUCCUGUCUGAAUAUGGGGGGACCAUCCUCCAAGGCUAAAUACUCCUGACUGACCGAUAGUGAACCAGUACCGUGAGGGAAAGGCGAAAAGAACCCCGGCGAGGGGAGUGAAAAAGAACCUGAAACCGUGUACGUACAAGCAGUGGGAGCACCCUUUGGGG
This 551-nucleotide ribosomal RNA is filed under the name Salmonella enterica. RNAcentral's name for it is "partial 23S ribosomal RNA". It matches the Rfam family "Bacterial large subunit ribosomal RNA", at positions 1 to 591 of the family's 2925-position model. RNAcentral also lists the same sequence under 2 other names. The record is from RNAcentral. Lineage: Bacteria; Pseudomonadati; Pseudomonadota; Gammaproteobacteria; Enterobacterales; Enterobacteriaceae.